Molecule: long non-coding RNA, 974 nt
Organism: Odocoileus virginianus texanus
Lineage: Eukaryota; Metazoa; Chordata; Mammalia; Artiodactyla; Cervidae
Source: RefSeq, a predicted model, not a curated record
GGAUCUUUGGAGUCUACCAUCUUCUUGGUUUGGUGGCUUUCUGAAUAAAGCCGCUAUUCCUUGUCCUAGCAACUCCUCUCUCCAUUUGUUGGCCUGCCUUGCCUUGCCACUCAUGGCGAGCUGGCAGUUGGGGAUUUUGGGGGUAAGGCCCUAGCAGCUGGCAAGACCACUUGUCCUGAGGCUCUUCCUGCAAAACUCCCCAAAGCCGCACUGGUUGUUCCAGCGCUGGGUAGUUGGAGCAAGGAAUCAAUAUUUGGGAGCAGACAGGCUCCAAACAGUAAGAAAUGGGCUCAGGGAAGUAAUCUGCCAGCCAAGAUGAUGAAGCCGGGAGCAGCCGUGCUGCGGAGCUGAGUCGGUGCCCUGCGGAGCACAGAGACAGCAGCCGGGGGCAAAAUAAACAAAAAGCUCCAGUGAAUCAAGUCAAGGGAUCAAAAGGCAACUCAUCAGCACAGAGCCCUUUGCCCUGAGCGGUUCUGAGCGAGCUGGCCCCGCAGUGCAUCUUGGAGCGCAGAGCAGACUCAUGUUUCCAAUGGUUGCUGGAGGCAGCUCCGCCCAGAAGAGUCGAGAAAACUCAAACAUGGAACAGCUUUGAAAACUAAGCCUGAGAUUUUCUUUUCACAAGGAUGUAAAAAAAUAGUUAUGAAUACCAUUAAUUUAGUCAGUGACAGACUUCUAUCAGCGCCUCCAGCUAUGUUUUGGGCAGCAGUGCUGGUGCUGAAGAAACAGAGUUGCAUUAAUGAUAUCUGGCAAACUUUCCUUACUUGGGGUUUGGUCUGACCCAGUUUUUCCCCAGCUGGAAACUUGAGAAUCUUGCUGCUUCCACUUUAGGAUUUCCAUGGUCAGUACCCUGGGAAACUGGUCUCAAUGUGCUGUAAAGAUAAUUUAAGCCACAAUCUUGCCUUGUUAUUGUUUAGUCGCUGAGUCGUGUCUGACUCUUUGCGACCCCAAUGGACUGUAACCUGCCAGGCUCCUCU